This 195-nucleotide ribosomal RNA is filed under the name Omphalotus nidiformis. RNAcentral describes it as "partial small subunit ribosomal RNA". Lineage: Eukaryota; Fungi; Basidiomycota; Agaricomycetes; Agaricales; Omphalotaceae. The record is from RNAcentral.
UUAGUCGGUCUCGGAGCAAACGAAGUGAAGCAUGUUAUUUAAUACGAGAGUACGCGUAAAAUCUUACCAGUUCUUGUAUAGCCAUAUUUAUUUAGAAUUAAUUUAUUUAUUGAAUUUUUUUUAUAAUAAGUAUGAGUAGUUAUCUAUUUUUUUAAUUAAUAACUUCGACUUACAGGUGUUGCAUGGCUGUCGUCA